AAAGAAUUAGUUAAAAUAUAACAUAAAUAUGUCAAAUUUAAAUUAUUAAGCCCAUUAAUAUUCUUUU
Molecule: transfer RNA, 67 nt
Filed under: Endoclita minanus
Lineage: Eukaryota; Metazoa; Arthropoda; Insecta; Lepidoptera; Hepialidae
Description: tRNA-Asp
Source: RNAcentral